Molecule: long non-coding RNA, 367 nt
Organism: Phyllostomus discolor (pale spear-nosed bat)
Lineage: Eukaryota; Metazoa; Chordata; Mammalia; Chiroptera; Phyllostomidae
Exons: 3
Source: RefSeq, a predicted model, not a curated record
GUCCAAGCAUGAAAUGAGUUUGUUCUCCAAAGUUUUAUGGCCCUUUAGUUAUCUGACCCUGACUCAGAAUAAGCCUUCAUAAUUCUUUGAAUGUUAUCUAUUGUUUGAUCAUUACUGCCUGAAGAUGAUUGAUGAGUUUUACCUCUAUUCUUAUGCAAAUUAAACCCAGUAAAAGCCCAUUGAGGAACAGGCUCAAGGCCCUUCUCCUCUGAGAGACUGGCCACCUUUCCUCCCCAAGCAGAUCAUGUCUUGGUAGACUUAUUCGCAUCUGUGGCAGAUGGAGCUGGGCUCUUUGGGCAGAACCCCCCCCCAUACCUCCCACUAAGCAAAGCAAGAGAUAGCCAACCUAUCUGAUUCAGAGUUCAAA